This 21-nucleotide non-coding RNA is filed under the name Caenorhabditis elegans. The record is from RNAcentral. Lineage: Eukaryota; Metazoa; Nematoda; Chromadorea; Rhabditida; Rhabditidae.
UAACGAACGUUCUGUGAAAAU